AUGUCUCUGUCCUCAGGCUAUGUUGUUGUCCCUCGCUGUCCGGUGAUCUUCGAUGGUACUAACUACACCGAGUUCACUGGCUUCAUGCGCAUUCACAUGCGUGGCAUCCGUCUGUGGGGUGUUCUUUCUGGCGAGGUCUGCUGUCCGCCACGUCCAGUUCCUCUGGUGGCCCCUACUCCGCCGACUCUACCGGUUCUUCCUACGGAUGCUAAUCAGGCCGCCAAGGAUGCGGCUAAGCUUGCUGAUGAGGCUGCUGAUCGUGCUUAUGAUGAGAGGGUUUUGGCUUAUGAGGAGGCUCUUCAGACGUAUCAUGGUGCUCUUUCUGUUUACACCCAGUGGCUUGAUGAUGAUGCUCGUGCUGCAGCUGCUCUCACUGCUAGUGUUCUGCCUCAGUUUGCUUCUGAGUUUCUGGGUCUUCCUACUGUCUUUGAGAUGUGGACCCGUCUUCGUCAGCGCUAUGAGCCCUCUGGUGAUGCCUUAUACCUUUCUGUGGUCCGUCAGGAGCAUGCUCUUCAGCAGGGUGACUCUACUAUUGACGACUUCUAUGCACAGAGUUCUGCUAUCUGGCGCCAGCUUGAUUCUCUCCGCAGUGUUGGUUGUCGUACUUGCCCUUGUUGCCAGGCUGUCCAGGCCAAUUUGGAGUUUCAUCGCGUCUACGAGUUCAUGUCUCGGCUCCGUAAGGAGUUUGAGCCUCGGCGUGCUCAGUUGUUUGCUCGUGGCCAUAUUUCUCUCAUGGAGGCGCUUUCUGAGAUUCGUGCUGAGGAGACUCGCUUACAUGGUGUUGGUUUGGUGGAGGUUCCCUCUGUGCUCGCUACUCGGCCUCCUUCCACGCCACCUGCUGCACCGGCCCUCUCUCGCUCGAGUGCUCCGCCGCUCUUGCCCACUCCUUCUGGAGGCUCAGGUCGCUCCCGUCCACAUUGCGACUACUGCAACAAUGAUGGUCAUAUUGAGUCCCAAUGCUACACGAAGAGGAAACACCUGCGCAAGGCGCGAUCAUCAUCUUCAGGGACUUCAUCAUCUACCUCGAUAGCUUCAACCAUUGCUUUGACUGAGCAGGAUAUUCUGAGACUUAAGCGUCUGCUCGCGGCUUCAGGUUCUUCCUCGACGGGUACUGCUGGUUCUGUGACUGAUGCUUCUCUCACUGAGCAACCACCCUCUACAUCGUCAGGACCUUCGCACGCACACUCUGGUUGGGGCUGGACCUCGCCACCGUGA
This 1215-nucleotide ribosomal RNA is filed under the name Triticum aestivum (bread wheat). RNAcentral describes it as "partial small subunit ribosomal RNA". The record is from RNAcentral. Lineage: Eukaryota; Viridiplantae; Streptophyta; Magnoliopsida; Poales; Poaceae.